Molecule: ribosomal RNA, 571 nt
Filed under: uncultured Hanseniaspora
Lineage: Eukaryota; Fungi; Ascomycota; Saccharomycetes; Saccharomycodales; Saccharomycodaceae
Description: LSU rRNA
Rfam family: Eukaryotic large subunit ribosomal RNA
Source: RNAcentral
AAACCAACUGGGAUUACCUUAGUAACGGCGAGUGAAGCGGUAAAAGCUCAAAUUUGAAAUCUGGUACUUUCAGUGCCCGAGUUGUAAUUUGUAGAAUUUGUCUUUGAUUAGGUCCUUGUCUAUGUUCCUUGGAACAGGACGUCAUAGAGGGUGAGAAUCCCGUUUGGCGAGGAUACCUUUUCUCUGUAAGACUUUUUCGAAGAGUCGAGUUGUUUGGGAAUGCAGCUCAAAGUGGGUGGUAAAUUCCAUCUAAAGCUAAAUAUUGGCGAGAGACCGAUAGCGAACAAGUACAGUGAUGGAAAGAUGAAAAGAACUUUGAAAAGAGAGUGAAAAAGUACGUGAAAUUGUUGAAAGGGAAGGGCAUUUGAUCAGACAUGGUGUUUUUUGCAUGCACUCGCCUCUCGUGGGCUUGGGCCUCUCAAAAAUUUCACUGGGCCAACAUCAAUUCUGGCAGCAGGAUAAAUCAUUAAGAAUGUAGCUACUCUGUAGUGUUAUAGCUUUUUGGAAUACUGUUAGCCGGGAUUGAGGACUGCGCUUCGGCAAGGAUGUUGGCAUAAUGGUUAAAUGCCGC